Molecule: ribosomal RNA, 468 nt
Filed under: uncultured bacterium
Lineage: Bacteria
Description: partial 16S ribosomal RNA
Rfam family: Bacterial small subunit ribosomal RNA
Source: RNAcentral
GACGAACGCUGGCGGCGUGCUUAACACAUGCAAGUCGAACGGAAAGGCCCUGCUUUUGUGGGGUGCUCGAGUGGCGAAAGGGUGAGUAACACGUGAGUAACCUGCCCUUGACUUUGGGGUAACUUCAGGAAAAUGGGGCUAAUACCGGAUAGGAGCUCCUGCUGCAUGGUGGGGGUUGGAAAGUUUCGGCGGUUGGGGAUGGACUCGCGGCUUAUCAGCUUGUUGGUGGGGUAGUGGCUUACCAAGGCUUUGACGGGUAGCCGGCCUGAGAGGGUGACCGGCCACAUUGGGACUGAGAUACGGCCCAGACUCCUACGGGAGGCAGCAGUGGGGAAUAUUGCACAAUGGGCGGAAGCCUGAUGCAGCAACGCCGCGUGCGGGAUGACGGCCUUCGGGUUGUAAACCGCUUUCGCCUGUGACGAAGCGUUAGUGACGGUAAUUGGUUAAGAAGCACCGGCUAACUACGUG